AAAUAGGCGUAAACAAAUCCCGACAAAA
Molecule: small RNA, 28 nt
Filed under: Bombyx mori (domestic silkworm)
Lineage: Eukaryota; Metazoa; Arthropoda; Insecta; Lepidoptera; Bombycidae
Description: ovarian small RNA-10118
Source: RNAcentral